Long non-coding RNA from Cebus imitator (Panamanian white-faced capuchin), 89 nucleotides. RefSeq lists it as uncharacterized. Lineage: Eukaryota; Metazoa; Chordata; Mammalia; Primates; Cebidae. The record is from RefSeq and is a predicted model, not a curated record. The transcript is spliced from 3 exons.
CAGGAAAUACAGGAAAUGAAAAGGCAUGAUGAAUACACUGAGGGUGCUCUCGAAGGCACCAGCCCCUGGCAUCUGGGUAUGUGCCUUUG